RNAcentral lists this transfer RNA (58 nucleotides) under Dipodomys ordii (Ord's kangaroo rat). It matches the Rfam family "tRNA", at positions 8 to 63 of the family's 71-position model. From Rfam's summary of the family: Transfer RNA (tRNA) molecules are approximately 80 nucleotides in length. Lineage: Eukaryota; Metazoa; Chordata; Mammalia; Rodentia; Heteromyidae. The record is from Rfam by way of RNAcentral.
UGGCUCAGUGGUAGAGCAUUUGCCUUGCAGGCAUGAGGCCCUGGGUUCGAUUCCUCAG